RNAcentral lists this ribosomal RNA (497 nucleotides) under uncultured Bacilli bacterium. Its description in RNAcentral is "bacterial SSU rRNA". It matches the Rfam family "Bacterial small subunit ribosomal RNA", at positions 396 to 884 of the family's 1533-position model. Lineage: Bacteria; Bacillati; Bacillota; Bacilli. The record is from RNAcentral.
GCCGCGUGAGCGAUGAAGGCCUUCGGGUCGUAAAGCUCUGUUGUUAGGGAAGAACAAGUAUCGGAGUAACUGCCGGUACCUUGACGGUACCUAACCAGAAAGCCACGGCUAACAACGUGCCAGCAGCCGCGGUAAUACGUAGGUGGCAAGCGUUGUCCGGAAUUAUUGGGCGUAAAGCGCGCGCAGGCGGUCCUUUAAGUCUGAUGUGAAAGCCCACGGCUCAACCGUGGAGGGUCAUUGGAAACUGGGGGACUUGAGUGCAGAAGAGGAAAGCGGAAUUCCACGUGUAGCGGUGAAAUGCGUAGAGAUGUGGAGGAACACCAGUGGCGAAGGCGGCUUUCUGGUCUGUAACUGACGCUGAGGCGCGAAAGCGUGGGGAGCAAACAGGAUUAGAUACCCUGGUAGCCCACGCCGUAAACGAUGAGUGCUAAGUGUUAGAGGGUUUCCGCCCUUUAGUGCUGCAGCUAACGCAUUAAGCACUCCGCCUGGGGAGUACG